GUUCCUGGCUCAGGAUGAACGCUGGCGGCGUGCUUAACACAUGCAAGUCGAGCGAAGCAAUUUAAGUGAAGUUUUCGGAUGGAUCUUAAAUUGACUGAGCGGCGGACGGGUGAGUAACGCGUGGAUAACCUGCCUCACACAGGGGGAUAACAGUUAGAAAUGACUGCUAAUACCGCAUAAGCGCACGGUACCGCAUGGUACAGUGUGAAAAACUCCGGUGGUGUGAGAUGGAUCCGCGU
This 239-nucleotide ribosomal RNA is filed under the name uncultured bacterium. RNAcentral describes it as "partial 16S ribosomal RNA". It matches the Rfam family "Bacterial small subunit ribosomal RNA", at positions 15 to 236 of the family's 1533-position model. The record is from RNAcentral.